Biomphalaria pfeifferi is the source of this 553-nucleotide non-coding RNA. The record is from the annotation of a GenBank genome assembly. Lineage: Eukaryota; Metazoa; Mollusca; Gastropoda; Planorbidae.
GUUGUUUUUUUUUUUUUUUUUUGCUUAAGAGAUGUUUGAAAUAUAAACAAGAUUUCUUGAUUCUCUAUUGACUGUACUGCCUGGUUCUGUACUCUUGCAGGUUUGGAUUUAUGUAAGAAAAGAGGCUAUUGUUUUUAUAAAUGAAAGAGUUAACUCUUUAUGUGGGGAGCCUAAUUUGUUUCUGUAAAGCAGAGAGCUCUUUAAUAGUGCACAGCUUUAAUUUUCUGUGAGAAUUAUGAAGCUUAUAUUACAUUGUAACAUAUCUUUUCUGUUUCUGCACCAGCUAUGGUUUUGUGGGUCCCGUUUAUUAAGCUAAAUUAUUUGAUCUAACAAAAAAUUGCAACAGCAGACAAUCAAAUUAUUUAAUAAAUAUAAUGGCAUUAUAUUAUCAUUAUAUUGGCAGCACACAUAAUAGAUUUUUGUUUAUAUACAAAUGCUCAAGCAUAAUAAAAUUCGGUGGGACAUUUUUAUAGUUUACCACUCAAGCUUUGAACAGCUCUACAUGUCUAGUAGGCUUCCUAUAUAUAUAUAUAUAUAUAUAUAUAUAUAUAUA